GCCAGGCGCGGUGGCACGUGCCUGUAGUCCCAGCUACUUGGGAGGCUGAAGUGGGAGGAUCGCUCGAGCCCAGGAGUUCUGGGCUGCAGUGCACUAUGCCGAUCGGGUGUCCGCACUAAGUUCCGCAUCAAUAUGGUGACCUCCCGGGAGCGGGGGACCACCAGAUUGCCUAAGGAGGGGUGAACAGACCCAGGUCGGAAGUGGAGCAGGCCAAAACUCCCAUGCUGAUCAGUAGUGGGAUCGCGCCUGUGAAUAGCCACUGCACUCCAGCCUGGGCAACAUAGCAAGACCCCAUCUCUU
This 300-nucleotide signal recognition particle RNA is filed under the name Cebus imitator (Panamanian white-faced capuchin). Its description in RNAcentral is "Metazoan signal recognition particle RNA (ENSCCAG00000008540.1)". It matches the Rfam family "Metazoan signal recognition particle RNA". Rfam says of the family: The signal recognition particle (SRP) is a universally conserved ribonucleoprotein. It is involved in the co-translational targeting of proteins to membranes. The record is from Rfam by way of RNAcentral. Lineage: Eukaryota; Metazoa; Chordata; Mammalia; Primates; Cebidae.